Molecule: ribosomal RNA, 647 nt
Filed under: uncultured archaeon
Lineage: Archaea
Description: bacterial SSU rRNA
Rfam family: Archaeal small subunit ribosomal RNA
Source: RNAcentral
GAGUACGGCCGCAAGGCUGAAACUUAAAGGAAUUGGCGGGGGAGCACUACAACGGGUGGAGCCUGCGGUUUAAUUGGACUCAACGCCGGAAAACUCACCGGGGGCGACAGCAAUAUGUAGGUCAGGUUAAAGGUCUUACCUGAAUCGCUGAGAGGAGGUGCAUGGCCGUCGUCAGUUCGUACUGUGAAGCAUCCUGUUAAGUCAGGCAACGAGCAAGACCCGUGCCCACUGUUACCAGCAUAUCCUUUAUGGAUGAUGGGGACUCUGUGGGGACCGCUGCUGCUAAAACAGAGGAAGGUGCGGGCUACGGUAGGUCAGUAUGCCCCGAAUCUCCCGGGCUACACGCGGGCUACAAUGGUUGGGACAAUGGGUAUCUACUCCGAAAGGAGUUGGCAAUCUCUUAAACCCAAUCGUAGUUCGAAUUGAGGGCUGUAACUCGCCCUCAUGAAGCUGGAAUCCGUAGUAAUCGCGUUUCAACAUAGCGCGGUGAAUCUGUCCCUGCUCCUUGCACACACCGCCCGUCAAACCAUCCGAGUGAGGUAUGGGUGAGGGCACGAACUUAGUGUCGUGCUCGAACCUAAAUUUCGCAAGGAGGGUUAAGUCGUAACAAGGUAGCCGUAGGGGAAUCUGCGGCUGGAUCACCUCCU